Gossypium arboreum is the source of this 743-nucleotide long non-coding RNA. RefSeq lists it as uncharacterized. Lineage: Eukaryota; Viridiplantae; Streptophyta; Magnoliopsida; Malvales; Malvaceae. The transcript has 3 exons. The record is from RefSeq and is a predicted model, not a curated record.
GGUGAUAAAAUCCCCGCUUCCUCUUCUUCAUUAGCUUCAGAUCUUAAUGCUGUCCUAACAAAAAACCGAAGCAUCCAGAAGAAAAAAAAAUCUCCAUUCUUUGAAACCCAGUUUCACUAAUCCAAUGGGGGAGGAAGAGAAGAAAACAGUAGAGACGAAGGAAAUGGAAGAGAAAAAGGUUGAAGAUGAAAAGAAAGGGGAGGAAAAGGCAGCAAAGAGGAGAAGAAAGAAGAAAAGAAAGCUGAAGAAACUAAAGAAGAAUCUCCUGUUGUUUACUCAAUAGAUUGUUUUGAAGGUUUACAUGCAUUGCGAAGGCUGUGCUCGUAAAGUCCGUAGAUGUCUCAGUGGAUUUCCAGGGGUUGAAGAUGUAAUGACGGAUUGCAAGACUCACAAAUAGGUGGUGAAAGGGGAGAAAGCGGAUCCUUUGAAAGUUCUUGAAAGAGUUCAAAGGAAGAGUCACCGGAAAGUUGAGCUUCUCUCGCCGAUACCUAAGCCUCCGGCACCGGAGGAAGAGAAAACAGAGGAUAAAGAGAAGUCUAAGCCAUUCUGACUAUAGUAUAAGGACUACCUAAAUACUUCAAUCUGUAAAUAUCGAUAUGAAUUGAUUUAGAAAGGCAUUCUUACCGGUAGUAGAAACUGCCUUGAUCCAAGUACUGCAGAUCCCAUAAUCCUUCACACUACAAAAUUUAAAAGCCAUGUACAUAAGAUGGGUGAAUUUAAUUUUCAAUGUUUAUAAGGUAAAA